GGGUUGUGAGGUUAAGCGACUAAGCGUACACGGUGGAUGCCCUGGCAGUCAGAGGCGAUGAAGGACGUGCUAAUCUGCGAUAAGCGUCGGUGAGGUGAUAUGAACCGUUAUAACCGGCGAUUUCCGAAUGGGGAAACCCAGUGUGUUUCGACACACUAUCAUUAACUGAAUCCAUAGGUUAAUGAGGCGAACCGGGGGAACUGAAACAUCUAAGUACCCCGAGGAAAAGAAAUCAACCGAGAUUCCCCCAGUAGCGGCGAGCGAACGGGGAGGAGCCCAGAGCCUGAAUCAGUGUGUGUGUUAGUGGAAGCGUCUGGAAAGGCGCGCGAUACAGGGUGACAGCCCCGUACACAAAAAUGCACAUAUUGUGAGCUCGAUGAGUAGGGCGGGACACGUGGUAUCCUGUCUGAAUAUGGGGGGACCAUCCUCCAAGGCUAAAUACUCCUGACUGACCGAUAGUGAACCAGUACCGUGAGGGAAAGGCGAAAAGAACCCCGGCGAGGGGAGUGAAAAAGAACCUGAAACCGUGUACGUACAAGCAGUGGGAGCCUCUUAAUGGGGUGACUGCGUACCUUUUGUAUAAUGGGUCAGCGACUUAUAUUCUGUAGCAAGGUUAACCGAAUAGGGGAGCCGAAGGGAAACCGAGUCUUAACUGGGCGUUAAGUUGCAGGGUAUAGACCCGAAACCCGGUGAUCUAGCCAUGGGCAGGUUGAAGGUUGGGUAACACUAACUGGAGGACCGAACCGACUAAUGUUGAAAAAUUAGCGGAUGACUUGUGGCUGGGGGUGAAAGGCCAAUCAAACCGGGAGAUAGCUGGUUCUCCCCGAAAGCUAUUUAGGUAGCGCCUCGUGAAUUCAUCUCCGGGGGUAGAGCACUGUUUCGGCAAGGGGGUCAUCCCGACUUACCAACCCGAUGCAAACUGCGAAUACCGGAGAAUGUUAUCACGGGAGACACACGGCGGGUGCUAACGUCCGUCGUGAAGAGGGAAACAACCCAGACCGCCAGCUAAGGUCCCAAAGUCAUGGUUAAGUGGGAAACGAUGUGGGAAGGCCCAGACAGCCAGGAUGUUGGCUUAGAAGCAGCCAUCAUUUAAAGAAAGCGUAAUAGCUCACUGGUCGAGUCGGCCUGCGCGGAAGAUGUAACGGGGCUAAACCAUGCACCGAAGCUGCGGCAGCGACGCUUAUGCGUUGUUGGGUAGGGGAGCGUUCUGUAAGCCUGUGAAGGUGGCCUGUGAGGGUUGCUGGAGGUAUCAGAAGUGCGAAUGCUGACAUAAGUAACGAUAAAGCGGGUGAAAAGCCCGCUCGCCGGAAGACCAAGGGUUCCUGUCCAACGUUAAUCGGGGCAGGGUGAGUCGACUCCUAAGGCGAGGCCGAAAGGCGUAGUCGAUGGGAAACAGGUUAAUAUUCCUGUACUUGGUGUUACUGCGAAGGGGGGACGGAGAAGGCUAUGUUGGCCGGGCGACGGUUGUCCCGGUUUAAGCGUGUAGGCUGGUUUUCCAGGCAAAUCCGGAAAACCAAGGCUGAGGCGUGAUGACGAGGCACUACGGUGCUGAAGU
Molecule: ribosomal RNA, 1555 nt
Filed under: Escherichia coli
Lineage: Bacteria; Pseudomonadati; Pseudomonadota; Gammaproteobacteria; Enterobacterales; Enterobacteriaceae
Description: partial 23S ribosomal RNA
Rfam family: Bacterial large subunit ribosomal RNA
Source: RNAcentral